RNAcentral lists this ribosomal RNA (828 nucleotides) under Bacillus sp. A5F. RNAcentral's name for it is "bacterial SSU rRNA". It matches the Rfam family "Bacterial small subunit ribosomal RNA", at positions 41 to 847 of the family's 1533-position model. Lineage: Bacteria; Bacillati; Bacillota; Bacilli; Caryophanales; Bacillaceae. The record is from RNAcentral.
GGUCCCCAUAGUACGUAGAUGCAGUCGAGCGGAAGAUGGGAGCUUGCUCCCUGAUGUUAGCGGCGGACGGGUGAGUAACACGUGGGUAACCUGCCUGUAAGACUGGGAUAACUCCGGGAAACCGGGGCUAAUACCGGAUGCUUGUUUGAACCGCAUGGUUCAAACAUAAAAGGUGGCUUCGGCUACCACUUACAGAUGGACCCGCGGCGCAUUAGCUAGUUGGUGAGGUAACGGCUCACCAAGGCAACGAUGCGUAGCCGACCUGAGAGGGUGAUCGGCCACACUGGGACUGAGACACGGCCCAGACUCAUACGGGAGGCAGCAGUAGGGAAUCUUCCGCAAUGGACGAAAGUCUGACGGAGCAACGCCGCGUGAGUGAUGAAGGUUUUCGGAUCGUAAAGCUCUGUUGUUAGGGAAGAACAAGUACCGUUCGAAUAGGGCGGUACCUUGACGGUACCUAACCAGAAAGCCACGGCUAACUACGUGCCAGCAGCCGCGGUAAUACGUAGGUGGCAAGCGUUGUCCGGAAUUAUUGGGCGUAAAGGGCUCGCAGGCGGUUUCUUAGGUCUGAUGUGAAAGCCCCCGGCUCAACCGGGGAGGGUCAUUGGAAACUGGGGAACUUGAGUGCAGAAGAGGAGAGUGGAAUUCCACGUGUAGCGGUGAAAUGCGUAGAGAUGUGGAGGAACACCAGUGGCGAAGGCAACUCUCUGGUCUGUAACUGACGCUUAAGAGCGAAAGCGUGGGGAGCGAACAGAAUAAAAUACCCUGGUAGUCCACGCCCGAAACAAUGAGUGCUAAAUGUUAAGGGGUUUCCGGCCCCUUAGGGUU